GGGCUAAAGGUGUAGGGCAAGUGGGAAGGGUGGGGGAAAGGUAAUAAGGGAGAUGGAAAAAAUAUGAGAAACUGAAAAAAUUGAAACAAAGUGUUUGUAAAUGGGGAGGGGAGGAGGGGGUAAAGGGAGGGCAGGGACAAGAGGAAAAAAUGAGAAUCAAGACCUAUUAUGUAAAGGUACAGAAUCCCAAUGAUGAAUGUAACUGUAUUGUAUACCUGGAUUGUACCAAUAAACUCAAUUAAAAAAGCAUAUUAGAGUUUUCUGUGCUAAUUUUAAAGAAUUAACAUUAAAUUUUAGUGAACUUCAUACUGUACAAGAAAGAAAUACACCUGAGUGUCGCAUUUUUCUGCUAUUUAGCUCACACACCCAAUUACAUUGUUGAUACCCAUGUUUAGACUAUAUUUUCACAUUUAAUAUACAGACUAGGCUUCUGGAUACCGUGAAGUAGAUGGCGAAUUAUUAAUUUUAAUUCGUAAAUAAAAAGCAAUGGUGCUCCGAAUUAGGGAAGUGUCUUGUGCUUUGUUCAGUCAAAGUCCCUGAGCGGAGAUGAGCAGGAACAACAGAGAUGAGUGAGUGGGGCUCAGUGGGGCUCCAGGUUCAGAGAAUCACCCAUCCCGACCCAUCGGUUCCACAGCUUUGGGCCUUCCGGGAGAAUAAUCAUAGAAACAACAGAAUAAUGGAACCUUUGGAUAUUGAAUGCCCCACGGAUAUAAUGUCUGCAGGGGCCAGCCAGGGGAAACGUCACAAAACAUUACUGCUCCGAUGAGAAAGCAACCAUUGAACCUCCUCCCAUCAAUGACACUUCCCGUCCAGUAUCUGCUUUUCCUGAGGACACAUCAUCCAUCCGCAAUAUUCAUGUACAACGAUCAACCGUCUUCAAUACUCAGAUCAGAUCAUCAACACAUGGAAUCUAGAAA
RNAcentral lists this long non-coding RNA (917 nucleotides) under Fukomys damarensis (Damara mole-rat). Its description in RNAcentral is "lncRNA (ENSFDAG00000023901.1)". The record is from RNAcentral. Lineage: Eukaryota; Metazoa; Chordata; Mammalia; Rodentia; Bathyergidae.